GCUACAUCAAAAUCAUUUUAAUCUUAUUAAAAGAACUUGGGCCUAUCACAACCAUUGGUCCAAGUUAAUAUGAAUUAGUAGUUUAUAAUACUCCCACUAUUUCGAUGAAAUAAGUGAGACUAUAUGGAACUACUAACGAAUGUUUUGCAUCCUCAUAUGGACUAUAUAGUCAUAUUAGGUUUUAGGAUGAUUAUGAACUGUUUGAAUUUGAUCCAACACGAGCCUUGUGUUG
Molecule: long non-coding RNA, 232 nt
Filed under: Malus domestica (apple)
Lineage: Eukaryota; Viridiplantae; Streptophyta; Magnoliopsida; Rosales; Rosaceae
Description: long non-coding RNA (MDOM_LNC012911)
Source: RNAcentral